Molecule: unclassified non-coding RNA, 339 nt
Filed under: soil metagenome
Description: partial contains 5.8S ribosomal RNA, internal transcribed spacer 2, and large subunit ribosomal RNA
Rfam family: 5.8S ribosomal RNA (bases 1-120)
Source: RNAcentral
GAUGAAGAACGUAGCUAAAUGCGAUAAGUAAUGUGAAUUGCAGAAUUCAGUGAAUCAUCGAAUCUUUGAACGCACAUUGCACCUCUCGGUAUUCCGGGAGGUAUGCCUGUUCGAGCGUCAUUUGUACCCUCAAGCUCUGCUUGGUGUUGGGUGUUUGUUCCGCCUCUGUGUGUGAACUCGCCUCAAAACAAUUGGCAGCCGGCGUACUUGUUUCGGAGCGCAGCACAUUUUGCGAUCCAGAUCAACGUACAGCGGCAUCCAAGAAGCCUUAUUUAACGCUCUUGACCUCGGAUCAGGUAGGGAUACCCGCUGAACUUAAGCAUAUCAAUAAGCGGAGGA